CCUACGGGAGGCAGCAGUGGGGAAUAUUGCACAAUGGGGGAAACCCUGAUGCAGCGACGCCGCGUGGGUGAAGAAGUAUUUCGGUAUGUAAAGCCCUAUCAGUAGGGAAGAAAAAUGACGGUACCGGACCAAGAAGCACCGGCUCAAUACGAGACAGGAGCCGCGGUAAUACGUAAGGUGCAAGGGUUAUCCGGAGUUAGUGGGUGUAAAGGGAGUGCAGGCGGCACGAUAAGCCUGGUGUGAAAAUCCGGGGGCUAAACGCCGCAGUGCAGUGGAAACUGGCGUGCUUGAGUACCCGAGGGGCAUGCGGAAUGCGUGGUGUAGCGGUGAAAUGCGUAGAUAUCACGAAGAACACCGAUUGCGAAGGCAGCCUACUGG
This 378-nucleotide ribosomal RNA is filed under the name uncultured bacterium. RNAcentral describes it as "partial 16S ribosomal RNA". It matches the Rfam family "Bacterial small subunit ribosomal RNA", at positions 338 to 732 of the family's 1533-position model. The record is from RNAcentral.